Aricia agestis (brown argus) is the source of this 84-nucleotide long non-coding RNA. RefSeq lists it as uncharacterized. Lineage: Eukaryota; Metazoa; Arthropoda; Insecta; Lepidoptera; Lycaenidae. The transcript has 3 exons. The record is from RefSeq and is a predicted model, not a curated record.
AGGUCAAUGUGUCGAAGUCCGUCUGGGAGGUAAGUCCGUCUAUCGGUAGUAACUUCCAUAUUUGAACCACUAGUUACAUAAUAU